CCGCAUCUUCCCCACGAACCCUAGCUGCGUCCUCGUCUCCUCCUCCAUCCACGCGCCUCGGCGGCGACCCUAUGGAGGGCGGCCGGGUCGGAGCGGUCCCCGCGUCCCUCCUUCCCCGCUCGGCGCUCUCUACUCCCAGCGCAGCUGCCGCCUCCCUCCACUCUUCCCAUCUCGCUAGAGCCGCCGCAUCCGGAGGCGACCGGCGUUGCUCCAUCUCGACCUGCCCGUAACCUUCUCUCCCCGCAGCGGGCGGAGAAGAUGGAGAGGAGCUCGUCCGCCCACCUUCCACCAUGGUUUGCAGCGGUCGGAGAAGAUGGAGAGGCCGAACUGCGGCUGCCUCGUGCGCGCUCUCCUGCAUCUCGCGCGGGAGCGAGUGGUGGUGACUAGCAUAGAAGGCGGAGGAGGUCAUUGGGGCCGGCUUCCCUUCCGUUUUGGCUGCCAAGCUCCACGCGUUGGUGUUUGAUGAAAGUUCAGUAAGGCUGUGAGGGAAUACCAAACGAGAGAGGAUCCAGUAUCUGUUACAUGCAUCAGAUAUAGAUUGCAGUCAAGACACUUGCUCCCUCGUCAUCGACGGAAGGAGGAGAGCAGCAGCCACAACAGGCGACGGUGCUGGCGAAUGCGUCAGACAUGAGUCGCUUCGGCUUCUUCCAGCGGCCCAGCCAUGACGCCCUCAAGCCGCCGAUAGCAGCGGCCCUCUCCCAAGCUACACUGCUCCUGAUCUUCGUCGCCCCACACCGUCGUACUAUGCACAGCUCAGCCUGGCCAUGAUGCUCUUAGCCCGCGGACGCUCACAGCGUAACCGACGGUGGCGACUCACUCCCAACCCGUGUUGCUCUCCAUCAGUGCUGACGGAUUAGUUUGUUUUACAGUGUGGGCACCAGGUCUCUGAGUAGUUUAAAUCUGAACGCAACACCAAGGCUGCCAGCCUGAGCAUUGCCGAACAGUACAGCAAAGCAUUUUCUGAACUUGCUAAAAGCAAACAUGGAAGCUCUCCCUAAUUCAUCGAUUAAAGGGAGGCAGGGGAGUUCCAGUUUGUGAGGACAGUGGCGACAUGGUUGACUGAAUGGCAAUAGGAAGAAGGCACAUCUCAUAUAAUUGUUUUAUUCAAGACAAGUCUACACUCUCUUAUGUCAAAUUUGCACAGAUUUCCCUGCCCUAGGCUAUUUCUAAGGGGGAGAGAAGAGUGUUAUUUUUUUGGGGGGAUUACAAAGAAUGGUAGCGCAUGAGGAGUAUUAGCCACGGAGGAGGGAGGAGACUGACAUGAGGAAAACAUAUUCUGGAUCGAUUUGGUUCUCAUGGUGGCAUCUUCCCUGCUUUCUCCUUUCUUUUUAUUUCCAACACUCUUUGGUACAGAGCGAUUAACAAACAACUGAACUGAAUAUUGCUUUUUCUCCUUUUCAGAUAAGUUAGUUUACAUUAGUUUUCUGUUUGCUUUCCGUAUGGAUCUAUAUAUGUUAUUUUUAUAUCCAGUUUUCUGGGUGCUUUUCAAAAAGGGGGAGACCCAUGGCCGAUAUAGUUGCAUUAAGGUGCAAUUUGAUAACUAAAUACAUAAUAUAAGUCCAUCAAAAUAUUACAUGCAUGUGUGCUGUUUGUGCUUGUAUACCUUCAAUCUGCUUUGUGGAAGGCUGUUCGUAUUAAACUUUAGUGCUCGGUUGUUCAUCAUAGUCCCAUUCCCUUGAUAAUUAAUAUUGAAGCAAUGAAAAAUAGGUGAAAUUGCAAGAAACUUGAAGAAGUGGAGGAACAUGACUCAGUCUGUCAUUGGGGACAUGUACUGUUACAGAUACACUCUGUAUUUCUACCUAUCGUUGGUGUGAUGUUUGAACAUUAAGUUGUCAUUUAAUUAUGGCAUUCCCUUCUGCUUUUGUUUAUGCUAUAACAAUAGCCGCAAACUAUCUUCGGGACGUAUGGCAGGUUUGCUGACAAUCUGAUUGCGUUGCAGGUUUGGUACUAAUUUCUCAAAAAAAAUCAUGCUUUUGCAGCACCGUCCUGUUGAGCCAUGAGAUCUAAACCAAGGAAUCCAGAUAACAUCGACUAUGUUUAUAGAUCACUACAUGUUCCGUUGGAACAUUGUGAGGUCCUUUUUCCAGUUUGCUACUAAAUUCUCAAAAAAGAAACGUUCUUAUGCAUCACCAUCAUGUGGAACCACGAUACCUGAACCAAUGAACUCAGUGAACAUAUAUUAUAUUUAUUAUGGAUCAUUACAUGUUCUGCUGGAACAAGUUGUUGCAGCGGCACAAACUCGGUUGCGUCCGCUAUGACCCCAAUCUUCGGAUUAUUAUAAGUAGAGGUUGAUCGUGUAGGAGGUGAAGAUGCUCACGCCUAAAGCCAAACUUGACGCCGUCGACGCCACCAUCCGGGAGCUCAUUUAUAUUGGCUUCGAAUGGCUACCGUUGUAUUUUCUGUACUUUUGGUUGUGGUCGUAAUUGUUACCCUGUGCCUUUGCAAGAAUAACUGAAAAUGGUGAUUUCUAUUGACUGGAAACCGAGUACUUGUCUAAUUAUUGUUCAAGAAAAUAUAGUGAGUCGUGUUCUUGGUUGCUAAUAGUAUAGUACACCUAUGCGGAUCCUUCUGUCGGACCGUUGAAUGGAAAUAACUCAAAAGAAGAUAAUAGAGGUGUUGUCUCUAUGCAAUCGGUAACUGUCAGUUCAGUUACAAAGAACGACCAUCACAAAUAACUUUGAGAUGUCCAUUGGUAAAGGUCAGUUUGGAGUAGUCUAUUUUGGCUACUUGAAAGAUGGAACCCCAGUUGCAGUCAAAACACGCUUAGAAUCAUCAUCUCAUGGGGUUAAUGAGUUCUUGGCAGAGGCUCUACAUCUAAUAAGAGUUCAUCACAGGAACUUGGUCAAUCUGGUUAGCCACUACAAGGAUGGACACCACUCAACUCUUGUCUACGAGUAUAAAUUGCUAAUUUGCAUUGCUCUUUCGUGCAACAAGUGCGUUGAUACUUACAAACAACGAGGCAUGUGACUAUUUACUAUCACUGUUGUUUGGUAUUUGAACAUGUCUUUUCGAGGGGGAGAUGGGAACAGAUUGACUCAGUGAAAGUUGGCUGCACGUAAACUAUUGUGAUCAAGUUGGAAAAAAAUGUUUCCCCUCUUAACUGCUUCUGUUGGAGACUGGGGUCAGUAGUCACUGAAAUUUGCACACGCAUGGAGGAAUGAAUGAUGAUUCUCAAGUAACGAAGUUGUAGCCUUCACGACAAGAUAAAUGGAUGAUUUUGCAGCUCAAGUGUUGCUACAUGUUACAGAUAACUAUGGCAUUCCAUUUUAAUGAAUCUGCAUAUUGCUGUUGAGCACCGGAAGCGAGGGAGGGCAUGGCUGCACUGGAGGUUGUCCCAAGGCGAGGGCAGGGCAGAGACAUGCAACAAUGAGGGUUGCAACCGUAAUCAAUAUCUCAACAUCGAAUCAUUUCCUAUAGCCUUCCAGCAAGUUCAUUCUUAUUUUCUGAUUGGGUCAUGUUAGGCCAGCAAAGUAAACCUAGAAAAACUGAUUAGGCAAUGAUGUUUUUGUUUAAUUUUAGUGUUUGGUAUUUGUUUCAGAUAUGAAUAAUUCUGGUUAUGGUUUCUGCAUUGCAUAGUGACGUUAUAAUGAGAUUAGAGAUAGUUGUCACGCAUCUCUUUUCACUACAAACA
Triticum dicoccoides is the source of this 3631-nucleotide RNA transcript. It is a transcript of the gene named probable leucine-rich repeat receptor-like protein kinase At2g28990, with no coding region annotated. The transcript is spliced from 11 exons. Lineage: Eukaryota; Viridiplantae; Streptophyta; Magnoliopsida; Poales; Poaceae. The record is from RefSeq and is a predicted model, not a curated record.